Molecule: ribosomal RNA, 301 nt
Filed under: uncultured bacterium
Lineage: Bacteria
Description: partial 16S ribosomal RNA
Rfam family: Bacterial small subunit ribosomal RNA
Source: RNAcentral
CAGUCGCCGCGGUAAUACGUAGGUGGCAAGCGUUGUCCGGAAUUAUUGGGCGUAAAGGGCUCGCAGGCGGUUUCUUAAGUCUGAUGUGAAAGCCCCCGGCUCAACCGGGGAGGGUCAUUGGAAACUGGGAAACUUGAGUGCAGAAGAGGAGAGUGGAAUUCCACGUGUAGCGGUGAAAUGCGUAGAGAUGUGGAGGAACACCAGUGGCGAAGGCGACUCUCUGGUCUGUAACUGACGCUGAGGAGCGAAAGCGUGGGGAGCGAACAGGAUUAGAUACCCCUGUAGUCCUGUCUCUUAUACA